Molecule: ribosomal RNA, 252 nt
Filed under: uncultured bacterium
Lineage: Bacteria
Description: partial 16S ribosomal RNA
Rfam family: Bacterial small subunit ribosomal RNA
Source: RNAcentral
UACGUAGGGUGCAAGCGUUAAUCGGAAUACUGGGCGUAAAGCGUGCGCAGGCGGUUAUGUAAGACAGUUGUGAAAUCCCCGGGCUCAACCUGGGAACUGCAUCUGUGACUGCAUAGCUAGAGUACGGUAGAGGGGGAUGGAAUUCCGCGUGUAGCAGUGAAAUGCGUAGAGAUGUGGAGGAACACCGAUGGCGAAGGCAGCCCCCUGGGUCAAGAUUGACGCUCAUGCACGAAAGCGUGGGGAGCAAACAGG